CAAUAUAUAUAUUCAACAUUUUCUUUCCUAUUUCCGUACAUUUUGUAUUUUCCUCGUUCGUGGUAAUUAGUUUUUAUUAGCACAAUGAGCAAACGAUCACGUACCGAAAUAGAAGUUCAAUUUCUUAGCGACUGUGUAUACUCUGCGUUAGUCAAAUCUGGAUACUCAAAGCUUCCUUUCUACAGUGUUUCGGAGGGUGACAGUUCCUUCGCUUAAGUACACCAAGACUUCUUUUGAGAUGAGGAUAAGAAUUAGGACCGGUGUCCAGCUUUCCCUGUACGAAAGACAGAAAUUCGAAGGGUGACAGUUCCAUCUCUUAAAUACACCAAAACUUCAUUUGAG
Molecule: long non-coding RNA, 342 nt
Organism: Bolinopsis microptera
Lineage: Eukaryota; Metazoa; Ctenophora; Tentaculata; Lobata; Bolinopsidae
Exons: 3
Source: RefSeq, a predicted model, not a curated record